GAUUACAUCAUCCCAGAAAAGGGGAGGGGGAGGAAGAGAAACAAAAAAGCUGAUUGACACUGAACCAUGUGUCUUUCUCCUACAAGGAUGCUUUGGAAGGAUGAAACAUUCAUGGCACCAAGGUGGGAAUGCAGAUUAUAGGCAUCAGGAAGAUAACUGCCCAAACCAUCACCCACGAAGCAGUAGGGGUGGAAACAACUAGGUACGAAUAAGGGAAAUAAUGAAAGAAGAGUAUGUGCUGUCCAGAAAUACCAAAUCACAAUUCUUUUUUGAGAAUUCGAGUCAGAGCAGCUUCAUGCAAACUGCCUUGGGAAUUUCUAUUUGAAAGGUAAUAUAAGAAUUUUUGUAAUGGAUAAAUAUAAAAUGGGUAGUUAUAUUGCACAGAAGCCUGAUCGCUAAGGAGAUCGAUGCCCUUUUAUAUUUUGAAAGGCAGAUAAUAUACAAAAUAAGUGUCACCCUUGUAUUUUUAUAAUUCUAACAAAUAAAAUGUACCAAUAUGAAGGAUAGGUGGGUAUU
Molecule: long non-coding RNA, 516 nt
Filed under: Pogona vitticeps (central bearded dragon)
Lineage: Eukaryota; Metazoa; Chordata; Lepidosauria; Squamata; Agamidae
Description: lncRNA (ENSPVIG00000015052.1)
Source: RNAcentral